RNAcentral lists this ribosomal RNA (967 nucleotides) under Triticum aestivum (bread wheat). Its description in RNAcentral is "partial small subunit ribosomal RNA". Lineage: Eukaryota; Viridiplantae; Streptophyta; Magnoliopsida; Poales; Poaceae. The record is from RNAcentral.
GCCGCCCGGGUUCCGCCGCCCUCCGCCCGCGGCGCCGGGCGCCGCUGACCUCGACGCGCCGUGCCGUCACCGGGCGCCGCCUCCCCUCGUCCGAGGGCCGACAACCGAGCGCGACGACGCCGACGACUUCGUAGGUACCUCAGCGGUUGGGGGUUCAGCGGCAUGCUUUAAAACAAUUGGUAAGUACACUGCUAACGUAGACAGCUUUCCUCGAAAAGAUUUGACUUCAAACAACUUUAGGAUGAACGCAAGCUGAUACUGUGUUCUUUCUGACUUACAUAACCGUUGUUAUCGUGAACUUUUACUACAGAACCUCUUCUAAUUAAUACUUCUAAACUAGCUCCUAAAGUAUAGUUCUUUAUGAUCUUCUUGCGACGAAAAACCAUCUUUUACUCCUUGAAAGCGUGUUUCUUUUGUGUGUGUCCCGUCCUUGUACUCAUGAGAGCGGGAAGGUACAAAGACCAGCUAGCUUGAGAAGCCACUGGUCUUUUACUCUUUUCCCGUCCAGCAGCUACAUGUCUGGUGUCCGCGAGCCUGCGUGCCGGCCGUAGUACCAGCAGUAUCGAGUAUUGGGUACUCCCCCACUGCUUCGUUCUUUCCUUCUAGGGUACUUACAGUAAAACGUGGCUUCCAAACAUUGGUAACUCCUUACAAAAGAACGAGACUACAUAGUUCAACGGUACCCCCACUAGAUCUCCAGAGAAGGAACAGGUUUCAUACAGCAUGGAUUAGUUCUGUACAAGUAAAUUAAAUGGGCAGUACAUUUACUGUGUUGUACUAAGUGAACACAUAUCACAUUUGUAUAUAAAUAAAUACCGUUCGUCCACAAGUUUAAUAUCAACACUUUGCACAUAUCACAUUCCUAUAUUAAUAAUUCCCUUCACUGCAGUGUCACCAGCACGGACCAGAAGAGGCUCAGAUACGAACACCAAACACAAGAAAUCUAGACAAGUACGGGACUAUAACG